UAGUUUCAAACACUAAUUUUAGUUUCUCUUAAGAAUUCGGCAAUCUGUUUAAUUUUUUCUGCAGCAGCAGGAUCAAAUAAGAUGGAAUUAUACUCAAAACGGCGAAGACGCAUCGUCAAUACCGGCCUCUUUGCGACUAUCCGACUAUCCUUUGCGACGUAUGUACUUCGUGGCGGCUUCUUGCUAGCAGGAAUAAGCACCGAACCGAUCAUGUUCUCCGGCAGCAGCUCUUUUAGAUAUUUCGGAAAAUAAAAGCACUUACCUGUUCGAAGACAAAAUCGCCGGCCUCAGCUCGUAAAAUAGUAUUAGUUGGUGUGGUUCAACUUCUUUUAAAAUAAUAAAUGCAACCACCCACUGUGGAUAUUACAUUUUUACCAACUUGAUUUUUUUUUCUAUCUGUCCGGAUAUCAAUUUCCGUCAGAGGUUCGAAAACCAACGAGACGUUUUUCUAUACUUCCACCGUUGAUUCGUCGAAGUUAUAGGAAAACUAUGUUUCUUGAAAUGGAUUUCGAUCCGAUGACGGAAAUCGGAAUC
This is a long non-coding RNA of Armigeres subalbatus, 534 nucleotides long. RefSeq lists it as uncharacterized. The record is from RefSeq and is a predicted model, not a curated record. The transcript has 4 exons. Lineage: Eukaryota; Metazoa; Arthropoda; Insecta; Diptera; Culicidae.